Molecule: ribosomal RNA, 515 nt
Filed under: Sinoganoderma shandongense
Lineage: Eukaryota; Fungi; Basidiomycota; Agaricomycetes; Polyporales; Polyporaceae
Description: SSU rRNA
Rfam family: Bacterial small subunit ribosomal RNA
Source: RNAcentral
UCAUAGAAUUUCUUCAAAUUCAUGAUGUCGUAAGGGAAAAUAAUGAUAAUACCUUACUAUGAGUGUCGUCCAAAUCUGGUGCCAGAAGACUCGGUAAGACCAGAGACGCAAACGUUAAUCAUCAUAAACAGGCGUAAAGGGUUUGUAGGCAGCUUUUAUAAGAUUAUGAUUGCAAAAAAUAAAGGGUAAUCUAAAUUGAAAGCUAGAAUCAAAAAGAGGUUAUAGUGUAUAACGCCUAGAGGAGGGCUGAUAUCCAUAGAUCCUAGGCAGAAUAUUCAGGGCGAAGGCCACUCUCCAUUAAUGAUUGACGCUGAGAAACGAAGGUUAGGGUAGGAAAUAGGAUUAGAUACCCCGGUACUCCUUUCUGUAAACGAUGAAUGGUAGUCAUUAGUUAAAUUAAAAUAACUAGAGGCGAAGUUAACACAAUAACCAUUCCGCCUUGUGAGUACUACUGCAAAGUAGAAAACAAAAAAAUUAGUCGGUCUCGAAGCAAACGGAGUGAAGCAUGUUAUUUA